This 429-nucleotide ribosomal RNA is filed under the name Gemmatimonadota bacterium. RNAcentral's name for it is "Gemmatimonadetes bacterium partial 16S ribosomal RNA". It matches the Rfam family "Bacterial small subunit ribosomal RNA", at positions 355 to 776 of the family's 1533-position model. The record is from RNAcentral. Lineage: Bacteria; Pseudomonadati; Gemmatimonadota.
UAGGGAAUCUUCGGCAAUGGACGAAAGUCUGACCGAGCAACGCCGCGUGAGUGAAGAAGGUUUUCGGAUCGUAAAACUCUGUUGUUAGAGAAGAACAAGGACGUUAGUAACUGAACGUCCCCUGACGGUAUCUAACCAGAAAGCCACGGCUAACUACGUGCCAACAGCCGCGGUAAUACGUAGGUGGCAAGCGUUGUCCGGAUUUAUUGGGCGUAAAGCGAGCGCAGGCGGUUUCUUAAGUCUGAUGUGAAAGCCCCCGGCUCAACCGGGGAGGGUCAUUGGAAACUGGGAGACUUGAGUGCAGAAGAGGAGAGUGGAAUUCCAUGUGUAGCGGUGAAAUGCGUAGAUAUAUGGAGGAACACCAGUGGCGAAGGCGGCUCUCUGGUCUGUAACUGACGCUGAGGCUCGAAAGCGUGGGGAGCAAACAGG